GUGCUCACUUCAGCAAGCACAUAUACUAAGAACUGGAACAAUAUAGAGAUUAGCAUGGCCCCUGCGCAAAGAUGACACACAAAUCUAUGAAGUGUUCCAUAUUUUA
Small nuclear RNA from Octodon degus (degu), 106 nucleotides. The record is from Ensembl. NCBI's taxonomy places the organism in Eukaryota, Metazoa, Chordata, Mammalia, Rodentia, Octodontidae.